GUGGGGAAUCUUCCGCAAUGGACGAAAGUCUGACGGAGCAACGCCGCGUGAGUGAUGAAGGUCUUCGGAUUGUAAAGCUCUGUUAAUCGGGACGAAAGAGCCUAGUGUGAAUAAUGCUAGGAAGUGACGGUACCGGAAUAGAAAGCCACGGCUAACUACGUGCCAGCAGCCGCGGUAAUACGUAGGUGGCAAGCGUUGUCCGGAAUUAUUGGGCGUAAAGCGCGCGCAGGCGGAUCUGCCAGUCUGUCUUAAAAGUUCGGGGCUUAACCCCGUGAUGGGAUUGAAACUACAGAUCUGCAGUAUCGGAGAGGAAAGUGGAAUUCCUAGUGUAGCGGUGAAAUGCGUAGAUAUUAGGAAGAACACCAGUGGCGAAGGCGACUUUCUGGGCGAAAACUGACGCUUGGGCGCGAAAGCCAGGGGAGCGAACGCGAUUAGAAACCCUUGUAGUCC
This 450-nucleotide ribosomal RNA is filed under the name uncultured bacterium. RNAcentral's name for it is "partial 16S ribosomal RNA". It matches the Rfam family "Bacterial small subunit ribosomal RNA", at positions 354 to 796 of the family's 1533-position model. The record is from RNAcentral.